UCACGAAAGUGAGUUGUACUAGAAGUCGCCGCGCUGACCGCAAGGAAGCAAGCGCCCAAGGUAUGACUCAUGAUUGGGGUG
This 81-nucleotide ribosomal RNA is filed under the name uncultured bacterium. Its description in RNAcentral is "partial 16S ribosomal RNA". The record is from RNAcentral.